This 311-nucleotide ribosomal RNA is filed under the name uncultured bacterium. RNAcentral describes it as "bacterial SSU rRNA". It matches the Rfam family "Bacterial small subunit ribosomal RNA", at positions 29 to 333 of the family's 1533-position model. The record is from RNAcentral.
AUUGAACGCUGGCGGCAUGCUUUACACAUGCAAGUCGAACGGCAGCACGGGGGCGAACCCUGGUGGCGAGUGGCGAACGGGUGAGUAACACAUCGGAACGUGCCCAGUUGUGGGGGAGUAACCUAUCGAAAGGUAGGCUAAUACCGCAUGAGCUCGGCAAGAGGAAAGCGGGGGACGUCAGCGAUGGGCCUCGCGCGACUGGAGCGGCCGAUGUCCGAUUAGCUAGUUGGUGGGGUAAAGGCUUACCAAGGCGACGAUCGGUAGCUGGUCUGAGAGGAUGAUCAGCCACACUGGGACUGAGACACGGCCCA